GGUUUUAUAGUCAAAAAUGAUAUUAAAUUGCAAAUUUAAAGGAAAGUUAAUCUUUAAAGCCU
This 62-nucleotide transfer RNA is filed under the name Cerylon histeroides. RNAcentral's name for it is "tRNA-Cys". The record is from RNAcentral. Lineage: Eukaryota; Metazoa; Arthropoda; Insecta; Coleoptera; Cerylonidae.